Vombatus ursinus (common wombat) is the source of this 923-nucleotide long non-coding RNA. RefSeq lists it as uncharacterized. The transcript is spliced from 3 exons. The record is from RefSeq and is a predicted model, not a curated record. NCBI's taxonomy places the organism in Eukaryota, Metazoa, Chordata, Mammalia, Diprotodontia, Vombatidae.
GGGCUGGGGAGAGCAGAGGGAGCGAGAGCACCGGUGGCUCCUGCCACGUAUUCCUCCCGGCCGCGGCGGCGAGGCAGGAAGCCGAGGUUAGUGGGUCAGAGAAGAAGAACUCUGGUCUGCCUGGAAUCUCCUGGGUUUUCAGGGCGGUCUUCACUCAGAAAGCAGCAAGUCCAAAAUAGGAAGACACCAUUCUUGACACCCAGUUCUGGGAAAGCUUUCCCAGGGUCCUCCUAAAGGAUGAGGCAGCUCAAAGGAAAACCCAAGAAGGAGACUUCAAAAGAUAAGAAGGAGCGGAAGCAAGCCAUGCAGGAGGCCCGGCAGCAGAUCACCACUGUGGUGCUGCCUACGCUGGCUGUGGUGGUGGUCCUGAUCGUGGUGUUUGUCUAUGUUGCCACACGCCCUGCCACUGCUGAGUGAGCCAUGCCUCACACCAUCUCAGGACUGGAGGGGACUAGAUCAGGAGGCAGAAAAGAAAAGCCAAAAAGGAAAAAAAAAAUUGCUUCUAAUUUCAGAGACUUUAAUGCUACUGAGUCUGAAGCUCCCUAUCUCCCCUGGCCUUGGGCUUGAUUAAAGUUUCUCAGUUCUCUUGGAAUGUAAUAGGAAAUGUAUUAUCAGUGAAUGUGCCAUACACCUUAUGGUCCACUUCAUGUGCCUUUCAGACUUAAAAAAGGGGUGUUUCUUUCUAAAACCGAUGUAUAUGUAGCUCCAUCUGGAGAAAGGAGAAAUCUGCCGUGCCAUAAAUCAGUAUGAAUCAGCUUUCCACUCAUCCCUGUCAUCUAGAGCAUAGUUUCUAUGACUCUUUUCAUAUGUGUGCUUCACCACUUCCAAAGGGACUGUAUGUCUCUGUGCUUCAUGUGAUUUGAAAUAUAUCAACUCAAAGGUGAAAUAUUUAUUUUUGGAAUAAAGGAGAUUAUAGCCUUAAA